This 293-nucleotide ribosomal RNA is filed under the name uncultured bacterium. RNAcentral's name for it is "partial 16S ribosomal RNA". It matches the Rfam family "Archaeal small subunit ribosomal RNA", at positions 455 to 747 of the family's 1478-position model. The record is from RNAcentral.
GUGCCAGCCGCCGCGGUAAUACCGGCAGCCCGAGUGAUGGCCGAUCUUAUUGGGCCUAAAGCGUCCGUAUCUGGCUGCGCAAGUCCGUCGGGAAAUCCACUCGCCCAACGAGUGGGCGUCCGACGGAAACUGCACAGCUUGGGACCGGAAGACCCGAGGGGUACGUCCGGGGUAGGAGUGAAAUCCUGUAAUCCUGGACGGACCGUCGGUGGCGAAAGCGUCUCGGGAAGACGGAUCCGACGAUGAGGGACGAAAGCUAGGGUCUCGAACCGGAUUAGAUACCCGUGUAGUCC